AAAGGCUGUUACCCUGCAGGUCCAUCUCACGUCCCCCAGGAGGCCGGGGAAACCCUGGGCUGUGGAGGGAGGGGAGGAGGUUUGAACGAGCCCGCUCUGGGGACCGGGCCGCCUACUCCGCGGGUAAAAAUGGCUGUCUGGGAGGAGGCGGUGGCGGGCCCGGCGUCCGCGGUGCCAGCCCCGGGAGCAGCAGCCUUCUGCCGAACUCGGGUUUUCUUCUGUUUUCAUAGCCAGCCAGAACAAUGUUCUACGCACAUUUUGUUCUCAGUAAAAGAGGGCCUCUGGCCAAAAUUUGGCUAGCGGCCCAUUGGGAUAAGAAGCUAACCAAAGCCCAUGUGUUCGAGUGUAAUUUAGAGAGCAGCGUGGAGAGUAUCAUCUCACCAAAGGUGAAAAUGGCAUUACGGACAUCAGGACAUCUCUUACUGGGAGUAGUUCGAAUCUAUCACAGGAAAGCCAAAUACCUUCUUGCAGACUGUAAUGAAGCAUUCAUUAAGAUAAAGAUGGCUUUUCGGCCAGGUGUGGUUGACCUGCCUGAGGAAAAUCGGGAAGCAGCUUAUAAUGCCAUUACUUUACCUGAAGAAUUUCAUGACUUUGAUCAGCCACUGCCUGACUUAGAUGACAUCGAUGUGGCCCAGCAGUUCAGCUUGAAUCAGAGUAGAGUGGAAGAGAUAACCAUGAGAGAAGAAGUUGGGAACAUCAGUAUUUUACAAGAAAAUGAUUUUGGUGAUUUUGGAAUGGAUGAUCGUGAGAUAAUGAGAGAAGGCAGUGCUUUUGAGGAUGACGACAUGUUAGUAAGCACUACUACUUCUAACCUCCUAUUAGAGUCUGAACAGAGCACCAGCAAUCUGAAUGAGAAAAUUAACCAUUUAGAAUAUGAAGAUCAAUAUAAGGAUGAUAAUUUUGGAGAA
This 908-nucleotide small RNA is filed under the name Pan troglodytes (chimpanzee). RNAcentral describes it as "processed transcript". Lineage: Eukaryota; Metazoa; Chordata; Mammalia; Primates; Hominidae. The record is from RNAcentral.